UACGAAGGGUGCAAGCGUUACUCGGAAUUACUGGGCGUAAAGCGUGCGUAGGUGGUUUGUUAAGUCUGAUGUGAAAGCCCUGGGCUCAACCUGGGAAUGGCAUUGGAUACUGGCGACCUAGAGUGCGGUAGAGGGGUGUGGAAUUCCCGGUGUAGCAGUGAAAUGCGUAGAUAUCGGGAGGAACAUCUGUGGCGAAGGCGACACCCUGGACCAGCACUGACACUGAGGCACGAAAGCGUGGGGAGCAAACAGG
Molecule: ribosomal RNA, 253 nt
Filed under: uncultured bacterium
Lineage: Bacteria
Description: partial 16S ribosomal RNA
Rfam family: Bacterial small subunit ribosomal RNA
Source: RNAcentral